Molecule: unclassified non-coding RNA, 102 nt
Organism: Microcebus murinus (gray mouse lemur)
Lineage: Eukaryota; Metazoa; Chordata; Mammalia; Primates; Cheirogaleidae
Rfam family: Y RNA
About the family: Y RNAs are components of the Ro ribonucleoprotein particle (Ro RNP), in association with Ro60 and La proteins. The Y RNAs and Ro60 and La proteins are well conserved, but the function of the Ro RNP is not known.
Source: Ensembl
GGCUGGUUUGAGUGCAGCGGUGUUUAGAACAAACUGAUCACAACCAAUUACAGAUUCCUUUGUUCCUUCUCCACUCCCACAGCUUCACUUGACUAGCCUAAA